GAUGAAGAACGUAGCGAAAUGCGAUAAGUAAUGUGAAUUGCAGAAUUCAGUGAAUCAUCGAAUCUUUGAACGCAUCUUGCGCUCCUUGGUAUUCCGAGGAGCAUGCCUGUUUGAGUAUCAUGAGCAAAUCUCAAAGUCGAUCCUUUUGUUAAUUCAAUUGGUUUGCUUUGGACUUGGAGGCCUUGCAGAUUUCACCGUCUGCUCCUCUUAAAUGCAUUAGCUGGAUCUCAGUAUUAUGCUUGGUUCCACUCGGCGUGAUAAGUAUCACUCGCUGAGGACACUGUAAAAGGUGGCCAGGAAAAUACUGAUCGAACCGCUUCUAACGGUCUAUUAACUUAGACAAUUACCCUUAAGUUUGAUCUCAAAUCAGGUAGGACUACCCGCUGAACUUAAGCAUAUCAAUAAGCGGAGGA
RNAcentral lists this unclassified non-coding RNA (413 nucleotides) under soil metagenome. RNAcentral's name for it is "partial contains 5.8S ribosomal RNA, internal transcribed spacer 2, and large subunit ribosomal RNA". The stretch from base 1 to 120 matches the Rfam family "5.8S ribosomal RNA", at positions 35 to 154 of the family's 154-position model. The record is from RNAcentral.